This 3006-nucleotide unclassified non-coding RNA is filed under the name Hevea brasiliensis (rubber tree). Lineage: Eukaryota; Viridiplantae; Streptophyta; Magnoliopsida; Malpighiales; Euphorbiaceae. The record is from RNAcentral.
AGAGAGAGAGAGAGAGAGAGCACAAUUAACUUGGAGAGAAAUGAAAUCAAAUCCUAAACCUCCAAAGAAGUUAUGCCUCAAACCAAGAAAAAUGAGAUCAAUAAAUAAGGCAUGUUUCUGGAGGACAGCAGUGGGGGGAAAUUGCUAAUUUUCGUGUUAACAUUCAAGGCCAUGCAUUAUGUAUAUAGUUGGUUUCUUUGAAUCUUUUGCAGUCUCUCUUCUUGUUAGAGCCAUCAUUUCCACAUCCACAGAGUUCAGCCUCGUUGUAGUAGUUGUCAUCACAACAUCUUUUAGUUUCUCUCAUCAUAGAACUGGCAUUUUUCUCAUCUUGAGCAUAUGCUAGGCGGGCACCACAUUUUUUCACCUUGCAUUCAGUACCUACAGGCUUUAGGAACCUAUCCAGAAAGCGGAAUUCAAUCAACACCUCAUUGUAGUAAUGCUGGCUGAAAAUUUCAUAUCCUUCAGCAUAUAAAGAAGGAUCAAACCCCAGAAGCAGAUGAUCAGACACGAUUGAUCUUGGAUGACCUUGCUCAGCAUCCCAACCACCAAAACAAAAACUAAAAUGCAAGUGAUGAGAGUAACUAUCUUUGAAAUGGUAACUGCCUAAAACUUGGAAACCACUGUCAGCGAGAUAGUCCUGAAAUUUAACAACAGCACACAAGGUGAAACCCAGGAACUUGCAAUUAAACCAAUCUGGAGGUAGGUGAAUUGUUAGUGAAGAUCCCCUGCUUUGAUUGACAAACCACUUUGGAAUCGUUCUUCCAGGGAAGUGAAAACUAUAAGGGUAUCGUCCUCGUAGAAAAGACAUCUGAACAUAUAACAGAAUGGUCCUCUGUGUACUCUCAUCCAAUUUGAGGCAAUUGGUAAAAAUGAACUCAAAAUUGUAUUUCUUGAGUCUAGUAAGUAAGCCUGAUACUGUUUCCAAUGAAGUACAUUCAUGUGCAUCCAAUAAUAUUAGACGUGGUGGAAGCUGCGGCAGUGAUUGAAACCUCUUGCAAUAUUUUAAGCCAAGGUAUAGCAAUCUUGAGAGUUCACUGAUGCACGGAGGUAGGAUCUCGAAAUUGUUUUCACUGAGAUCUAAUACUUUCAAUGAGGAUAAGCAGCCAAUGCUAUCUGGUAUUUCAAGCAGAUUGCAACCAUUGAGAACUAGUUUCCGCAAAGAUUUUAGAUGCCCAAUCUUCUCUGGCAAUUUCACAAGGUCUUUGCAGUUACUCAAGCUCAAUUCAACAAGUCCUUGUAGAUUUUCAAUUUGAGAGGGCAACUCUUUUAUGCUCGUUCCAUCUACCUGAAGUAUUUCUAAAAGUUUCAACUGACAAAUACUGCCUGGGAGACUCUCAAGUUUUGAGCAGUUUCUCAAUGCCAAGUCAACAAGACCAGAUAGACAUCCAAUUGAUGUAGGAACAUCCUUUAUUGAAGUCCCACUUAAAUCCAACUGUUUUAUGUUCCCUGAAAUCUCUGGGAACUUGGCGAGUCUUGAGCAACCAUGGACAGACAAAUAUUGAAGAGAUUUCCAGGAGCAAAUGUCAUCUUGAAGUUCUUCUGCUGCAUCCCCCCUUGUAUCCAUAUUAAUGCUGCUUGGAAGAUUCCUAAGACUUUUGCAUGAUAUUAUAUUCAGAUGGAUAAGCUUGUUGAGACAUCGAAUUGAUGAGAAAACAUCAACCAAACUUAUACAAUGGGAAAGAUCUAUUUCCUCCAGAUUUGUGGCCCGAGAGAGGUCUGGAAUUGCAAUUAGAUGGUUGCAAGCCCGAAGGCUUAUCCUUUUUAAAUUCACAAGAUUCUGCGACAAAAUGGAAUUUGCUGGACUCCUAUCCAAAGUUGUUCAACUUUACCAUCAGACAGGAUAAGUUCCACAAGAUUCUGAGGAACAAAAUUAGAUGGGAAAGAUUUCAGAGGGUAUCCAUCCCAACGGAGAUAUCUUAACUUAUCAGGAAGAGACAUGAGACCAUGAGGAAGGUGCACUUUAUAGUUUCCCAUCUCUGGAGUAUAGAAUUCAAGCAAUCUAAGAUUAGUCAUUGCAAAAAAUGCUUUAAAAUCUACUUGAAUCUCUGAAACUGCGGACAUGUUUAAGGAUAUGGCUUCAAUUCUUCUAGUUCCCAAGUUUUUUGUCAAUACAUGAUGGACAUCCUCAGCUCUCCACAACCUGCUGCGUUUGCCAGGCUCUUUAAUGGAUUCUUUAAGAACAAUUUCCCAACCCAUGUCUUGCAAUAAAUCAUGCAUCUGUAGCCUAUACCAGCCAUUCCCCAAAUUCCUAUGAUACGAAAAUCAGCCAAUCCAAUGCUUAAUAAUUUUUCAAUUUCCUCUAAACGUGGUUGGAGUCCAACUAGCCCCCGAAUAUCAUUCAGAUUUUCACAAUUCAGUUUCACAGAUUCAACAAUUUCAUUAAUGAGUUUAGACUCAGGCCUCGUAGCCAGCGAAACCCAACCAGAAAGAUUGGCAACUUCUCUCAAAGCAGCCCUCCACCUAUGCACCUUAUCCAUCUCCUCCUUGAAUUGUUCUUCAAGGUUAACAAAUGCAUCUCCAAAAUACCCAGUCUGCUUCUCAACAUCUGAUGGAUCUACAUGGUAGAAAACAGGUACAAUUAUCUGCCCAUUUCGCCUCUUGCAUUCAAGAAUCUUUACAAGUACAUCCAAGCACCAGGUGGAUGAAGCAAAGUAUUUUGAGAAAAUAAUCAACGCUAGCUUUGAUUCUUCGAUCACUUCUUCUGAAAUUAGUGGCGAUCUUUCAUUAUCUCCUCUUCUAAGUGAAUCAUCCACGAAGGUCUUGAGUUGUUUCUGACACAGAGCAGCAUUAAGAUCACUGGCAAAAUUAGAGCAAGUGUCCUCACCUCUGAAGCUAAGAAAUACUUCAUAUUUUUCUUCUUUGAGGGAAGAAGAAGAUGAUGAACAAGAAGCCAUAUUAGAAAGUGAACUCGUUGGUUGUGUGGGAGAUCACAAUAAAGGGGAAGAGAGACUCUUGAGACAUGAAAGUAAAAGGAGUGUCAACUGUAAGAACCCCACUAUUUUUUCC